AAAGACAAAAAACUUUUUUUUCGUUGCAUGUCCCUAAGGCUCACCUCCACCGCCCCUUCCUUCACAGAGAUCACGUGAGCCCCUUCCCCCGGCCAGGGCCUUCCUCCCACUCCUCUGUGUGCCAGAGCACUUUCUCCUGACCUGCUUUUGGGAACGUACAUCCUCUGAACUGUGUCACAUCUUUCUUCAGAAUUUAAUAGCCUUCAAAUGCCUCCAGAACCUAGAGAAUUCAUCUCUCCACUUCCCUUAAAUGAAUAAAAGUGCUUUUUUUUCAGAGAAUGAGAGCUCUUCUUCUCUCCUGACUGUGUGCCUGGAGAGCAAGCUGGCGUAAGUCUGUCCAGCGCUCUGGGCACCAUGUGACCCUGCCUCCGCCCUCUGGGUGGGGUGCCUGGCCUCCUCCACCUCCUGGGGACCCUCCUGGAGAAACUUCAGAGCAGAGUGCAGUUCUGUUCUGAAUGUCCACCUCAAAGUUGUGUUCUUUUGUAGAUGAGACAGGUGCUGUGCUGCUGAGCUAAAUCCCCAGCCCCUAGACUACAAAUUUAUGGAAUGAUUGUGCUCAACUCGAAGAGGAUUCUUCAGAGACUUCAAGCAUCUUCCAGCUUCUUGGACUGAGCAGCUGUUGGAUCCUCCAGUGUGCACCGGCCAUCGUAGACUCUCCCACCUCUGAUCCCAGAAGCUGACCCUGUGGCAGAAAAUGUCCCUCCCCCCAGCAAGUAUACUUCAGUUUCUUAGUUGCCCAGGUAACAGUUCCUGUCUCUUAGAAACAGCUGGUCACUGUGAUGCAUACUGUAAGAACCAGUCCCCAACUGACAAGCCAUUGUGCCUCUGUAUAAGCCCUAGACCCCCAGAGAUCAGGGCCUGAUAUUCUGGGCAUGAUCCCGGUCAGUGCCUGUCCAUGUGAAUAAAUCUGCCUCCAGA
This is a long non-coding RNA of Chinchilla lanigera (long-tailed chinchilla), 918 nucleotides long. RefSeq lists it as uncharacterized. NCBI's taxonomy places the organism in Eukaryota, Metazoa, Chordata, Mammalia, Rodentia, Chinchillidae. The record is from RefSeq and is a predicted model, not a curated record. The transcript has 3 exons.